This is a long non-coding RNA of Felis catus (domestic cat), 8322 nucleotides long. RefSeq lists it as uncharacterized. The record is from RefSeq and is a predicted model, not a curated record. Lineage: Eukaryota; Metazoa; Chordata; Mammalia; Carnivora; Felidae. The transcript has 3 exons.
UCACACAAAAGCAGGGCGGGCAAAGGGAAGCCACGGAAGAAGGUAAUAAGUGGCUAACGAAACCACAACCGCCACCUGUUCUUCGCUCGCUUUGUGAGAGUCUCUGAGAGAGCAACAAGUCAACUCCAAGAACACUGCUUCCAGCCAGCUGGGCAGGGCUGCUGGGAGACACCGGGACCACCGGGAGGGCACAGACUCCUUCCCCAGCCUCCCAGGACUAGGUCUCACAAUUAAAGCAUGGCCUAUGGAGCACAAAAAUCAAGGCAUAUAAACUUAAGCGCUCAGAACUGUGGCUCAGAAGCCCUAAGCUGUUAAUACACACACCAAGAAAAAGAAAAUCUCUAGGACUUGGCAUCGUCUCCAUCUCCACCAGCUCAAACACCAGCGAUGGAUCUGAACAGCCAGCAGGAUGAUAGGUGGGUAUGCAAAUGGAGGACGUGCGGCCUAAUGCUGGCAAACAAGCCACAGACGGAACACAAGCAAGGUUACUCAGCAAUGAGACCCCCGGACUCUGCCAAGAGGAAAAGGGCUAGAAAUGGCCCCCAAGGGAAAAAAGGACAUCUCUGGCCCCUGCCAUUGAUGCCUGUGUAUCCAGAAGCCCAAGCCAUGAAUGCCAGGCACCGACCACCUGUAUCCCACAGCAGAAGGGGCUGUGGCAGUUUCCCUGACAAUCAAAGGAAGCACAUCAUGUGUAAGACUUGGGGCUUAUUACCAGCAGGAGCGAGCACCUCCCCAAACACAAAAACGUUACUGCAGAGCCUGGAUGGCCAUCUGUCAGGGGUGCUGAGAGGGCAGAUACCCACAUGGGACUCAGUGCAGACCAGAGGGCCUCUGGAGGUUCUCUCAGUGUUGAGACUUUGCUGCCUUGGGAAGUGACUGAUUGUACUUUGUGAUACAUGGUGGCCAAUCAAAAAGGGUCCAAAGAAAAUCCUGAGAGGUUAUUAGGAAACUCGGACUCACUGAAAUCACUUAUUGCUGGAUUUCUUGUUCGUUGUUUCCUUUUCCCUCUAAGUGACAUUGUUUGAGCCACCACCAGAAAACAAGCACAGGACAUGCUCGCAUCCUCAGCCGUGUUACUAGUGUCUAGCAGUUUUUAACAGGCAAUCAAUUUCCUUUCUUACUCUCACCGUUCUAACAUCCCACCUGAGGCCCAGCCUUAGAUCAGCUGAAGAGCAGGUGCAUCUUGGGUGGGCUUUGUGGGGGUGCCAGGAGAGACCUGCUCAGGUAAGAGAAAUUUUGGACUACUCUGGCUCCUGCUACCUGCUCUUGGGACUCCCACAUGCAUUCUUCCAGAGCCUCAUGCACCCGAAGCCUCCAUUGCUCUCUGCUCCCAAAAUGCAUCCAACGGGAAGGUUGCAAAGCCAGGACUAGCAGUGUUACCUGCCACAUCUAUGAAGAAGUGUGGGUCACUUAGGGCGGGAGGGGAGGAUGUCCCAACUAGCAAAGGAGAUCAGCCCCAAUUCUUACCUGCUGAGUCCCCUAGGCUAAUUCCCUCCACUGUUCCUCUCCCUGUGUAACACCCAGCUCUCUGUGAUGUGUGAGGGGUCCCAGCCAUGAGAAGGAAUGAGACUCAAGUGCCAGCCUUAUCCAGUCAUGUCCCUGCAAGUUAGCAUCCCUUCCACCUACCCCCAACAAGGCUGGGGCCCCACAGCUAAGAAUGCCUGAUCCCCAGCCAGAGAAACCUGCCUUCAGCUCCUGGGUGUCUCCUCCGAAAUGGCCUCAAUCCCCUACACCCGCUCUCCGUUUAGAAAAUUGACAAAAUACUAUGCGGUGUUCCUUAGUUACUUUUCUAGUGUGAGAAAAUCAGGGAAUGUUCUCUUUUAUGUUCUUGAUUCUUUCUCGUGGAACUUAGAACAAUAUAUGCUGUAAGUUAUCUGAAGUUACACAGUGGGUAGGUCUCUGAUAGGUCUUUUAUAGCUUCUCUCUCCCCUCUCUUCCCUUACUGUUACUCAGUUUCUCAGUCUUGUGCCAGUGCCUUAGAUAUUCACAAGGACAAGGCAUUCUGCAAUGAUGGGAGUACUCCUGAACGUGGAGUUGACUUUUUCCUGGGAGGUGUAUUUUUUUUAAAAACAUUUUUCUUAUUUAGAGGAAGCAUCCCUAGGUUCAAUGAAGCAAGCUAAUUCCUACGCGAGAUAGUGUGUGUGAUAUGAGAAACUUAAAGUGCCAAUUAGUUAGAUGAAAUCUUCUCAACCUUCACGUGAACUUCAAAUCAAUGCCUAGUGUUGCAAGCAACCUUGCUUUUCCAGGUAACCCUGAGAGAGAGCAUGUGCCUGGUGUCACUCACAGGAAGGCAGUGGCUAACACCACCACAUUGCUGACUAGUCAAAGCACUUUCAUUUAUUUUUACUUUCAUUUUGUCACACCAUCACUAGAAGGCUAGGAGAAACAGGGAUCAUUACUUCCAUUUCACAGAUGGAGACACCGAGAUCAAAAGAGGUGACAUUCUCAAGGUCACAAUGGUGUCACAGUCAGAAUUCCUAGGUCGUUGGCAUUUCUUCCAGAUCUAAAGAAGGAACUGGAUAAAAGUCCAGAGCAGAGGGGGCAGGUCCCUUUCUGAGCAGGAUAGGCAGGGGCUAUGUAUGGAGCAGCAGCCCAUUGGGAAAGUAAGGGGAGGCUCAGGGGCAGUCCUGUGUCACCGUUUGCCUCGCAAGGGUUUGCCCUUGUAACUCCCCACCUCCACACUGUCCCCCCCCCCCCCCCCGCCCCGUCCCUCCUCUGCUUUUAGAGAGAACCAGUAGUGUUGUGUUUCCAACUACAUCCUUUGUCCUUUACAAUAUUCUCAAGGCUAGAACCCUUAAAUAUCAGUUAUUUAUCUUCGAAAGUUACGCUCUGUAUCUGGAGAGGCCAUUUCUGUAUCUAUAGGAAAAGACUGGGAUUGGGGAAUUGACGGGAAGAUGUUACCACCUCCGAGGUGGGAGAAGCGCCUUUGGAAGGUUGGUGGGGCGGAGGUUCUUUUCUUUUUGUUAAAGGGAGGUGUCGGGGAAGAGGUCCAGGGUACGCCACGGAAGACAAGUUUUCUUCCAUGGGUGGGGGGAGAACAGGUCGGUCACACCCCCCAGUCCCGCCACCAGCGAUGGAGUCCAGGACAGCACUCUCCCCGCUCGCCACCCUCCCUCGCGGCCCACCCCCGGGGUCCCCAGCGGCCCAGCGCCUUCUCAAGUCCGGACUCCAACCCCAUCGGACCACUGCUCCGAUGUGAACUUUGGCUCGCACCAAGAGUUCGGCAGAAAUGUCACCUCCCGGACACCCGAACAGGCCGCAGGGAAAAGAAAACUGUGAAUUCAGGCACGGCUAGGCGAACUCGUAAUCAGAAAAAGGGCCGCAGAUCAAAAAAUUAAACAGAAGGACACACAGGGAUCACUGAAUUUUAAAUGAAAACUUUCAGGGGAGAAAUUCAAAGAUUUAAUGAAAACAACAUUUCCUGGCAAAUGAAGUUCCAUUUGUGUCCAUAUCCCUUCCCUUCCCGGUAAAUAAACGUCUAAAUUUUAGGGACUGCAAGAGUCUUUACUUCUAGGUGAAGAAAGAGGGGCUCAAAAUGGGAAAAUAAUUGACUCAAAAUUCUGAAGCUAGACCCAAAGAUUAAGAGGUUUACCUGUAAAGGACUGUGUGGCAUUAUUAAUUCUGGUCCCAUAAUACAGAAUUUGCAAUAAUCUAGACGAUGUCUCAACUGAAAUGGAACACUGGAGUUCCUUGGGGAAUCUCUUCGGUUCCACUGGGGACUCCUAUCUGACCACCAGAUGCUCAGAAAACUAUGAGUAUGGACUUCCCUUUCAGGCCUGGCUCUCCACCCCAUUUCUCCGCUCCUCUCUGCUGUCUCCAGAGCUCCAUGACCCCCUCCUCCAGGGCCAUGAGCACAUCAUGGUGUCCGGGACAGCUGCAGAUGGAUCUAGGCCCACUUUCUAGUGAUUCAGUCCAAGUGAGUCACUUGGCAGAAAACAUAAAGGAUACUGUGUAUAAACAACCUCACCUUAAAAGGGGGAGUGGGGAGUAACGAUUUGGUUUUGUUUUAUUUUGUUUUGAACAACCACAAGACAAACCCAACUUGCCAGGGCUCUCACAUGGAGUUUCCAGGUCUUUCCAAGAAAGUACCAUACAAUGAUCCCCUGUAAGUAACCUGAUUUGCUCUCGUGGCCCCAGCUCAACUUCUCAGGAUCCUCUUCUCAUAUUAACAGGCAGAACUACCCAGCUGUCCAGAAGCAGCCAGACAAGCCCCAACAAGCCAAGACACUGCACUCAGAGGUUCUGGUCACCACCACCCCCUCCCUUCCUCGGAGUACAUUUCACAUAGGACAGGUCGCCCUUCCAGGCAACCAGUAACAACAUUUAAGGGUUUAAUGGCUUCUCAUGUGGAUUCAGAGAUUCCACUAGAGAGUCUGUGUUUCAUUACCAAAGCCCAAGGAGCAAACAUGCACGUGGGACAUGUCCCUCCCUUUUGGGCACCACAGAUCUCUCUCUCUCUCUCUAAUCUCCUCUCUGCCUUCUAAGAGAAAUAACCAAGCACGCAUCAUGUCAGCUGGGAAGGGCUUAACCUGUGGAGGAGGAGGGGAAGAUGCAGGAGAACCUGGAAAGACUGAACACGGUGAAAUGGACCCUGGCACUUUUUCAUCUCCUUCUAGGACAGAAUAAGAGAAAACAGCAGGAGAGACUUGGAGGCAGAUAGAACCUUAGAAAGAGUAGUCAGCUUGGUCUUGGAGCCCUGGCUUCUUGUCCUGACUUUACCAUUGUUUAACUGUGUGAUCUCAGCCUCUGUUUCCUCAUCUGUGAAACAAAGACUGCCUGAGAUGAUUGCUAAGGAGUGCUCCAGCUCUGGUGUUUUAGGGUUCAGUAAAGACCUCUGACACAGUUAGCAAGGAGGUAUGAAACGGGUGUUUAAGGACAUUUGUGGUGUUUCCUUCCCAGGGAUAUAAAAAUCCAAAUAAGAUUUUUGGUCACCCUAGAUGGCUUUGAAGAGGCCCUAUCUGGAGGCAGGGGACAAAUCAGAUGACCUUUCAGAUGUCUCCCAGCGCUAGGAAUCUACUGAUCUAAAAUGAAACAGUCGGGAAGCCAGCUUGGACCUGGUUCCCAGAUGGAGUGAGUUAGGAGUCAGGCAUUCCUAACCUCUCCAUGGGUGGGAGUGGGGACACUCCGAAGUGGUUGACAGUGAACUCAGCAGUAGGCCAGGUGUCUCUACCACCCAAUACUGCAUGUGGUCAGAGUUUCUGCAGGGGCUUUCUGUCUCUGCCUGCGUUGGUUAGAUGAGGUUUCGGCCAGACUGCAGGACUACAGGCCCCCAAGUGCUACAGCCUCACAUCACAGAUGUUUUCUUCUUCUGGUUCUCCUAACAGCCUUAGGCACUGACAUUCAGGUCAGCGGCUUGCUCUUUUCCACACAGCCUUCCAAGGAUCCACACCAUGGCAGCUCUACCAUUCUCAAUGUAUGGCUUCCAAGGUUGCCCUUGGAAGUGGCAUCCCAAUCAGCCAGAGGUGGAAAGAACAUGGAGGUGUGAGCAUGGGAGGUUUUAAAGGGCCAGGCCUGGAAGUGGCAUCCUUCAUUUCCUCUUCCACCCCACUGGAGAGAACAUGGUCACAUGGCUCACCAAACUGCAACGGGGUCUGGGAAAUGCAGUCUAGCCAUAUGGGCAAAGAAGGGGAGAAGGGAUGUGGGUAGACAGCUAGCAGUCUGUGACCUACCACUCACUAUCAGAAGGGCAGGGGAAGGAACGGGAGGGUAAAGGAUUUUCAUUGCUUUGGCCUCAGUUUCCUCCUUCAUAAAACAAGGGUGCUGAGUCAGAUGAUCUCUGAGGGCCCAUCUGCUUUAGCAUUCUGUGGUUCCAAGAGCUGAUGAAAUGUCCUUCUGCACCAAAGUAAACAAGCCUACAGACUCCUGCUGCAGCUUAUCCUUGGCCUGAGGAGCUGUCCUCUGCCAACUAGUGUGGCUGGUGCGACCCCGUAGAGAGGGCUUUAGGUUCUCUCCAAGUUCUGUUCCCAAACUGUUCUCACUCCUUGGCCAAGUCCAGUGGUCUCCAUUGGCCUCAGUCUCCCCACCUGUAGAGUGGGGAGAGAAAUCGUUACCCUAUGCUGCAUCCCGGGUUGGUCUGAGGAUGUGAUGAGAUCACUGUCCAGAAGGCACAGAGCUCUUCCAACUGAAGCACUCCACAAGAUGCUCUAAUUGUAACCAGAGCCUUUAAUAACACUGCACUCUGCUCAGGCCUGACGUGUGCCCAGAUCCUUAGGACAGCGCCUGUAGGAUUCGUGGCAGUGUGGGGUGGCAUUGCCAUGGAUGGGAUACAGUGGUGGCUGCAUAGCAGUCACAUCACAGGACUAGGAUCCCUGAGGGCUGAGAUCAGCCAGCAGACACCUGGAUUGAGCUUCAUCCGGGGGUGGUGAGCGGGGCCCAGACAGCACCGUCUCCUCUGGCGUGCUCCUCUUCUAUGUACUCAUCACCCCAUUAUACCCUGAGUCUGUUUAGUCAUCCUCUUGUUGGGUUGUCCCCUGCCCCCAUCCCCCAAUUUAUGAGCUGCUUUCUGAGAAGCUCCGUGCCUCAUUCAUCUCUGUAUCCCCAGACUCCAACACAGUACCUUCUUUCUUUUAUUUGUCAUUCAACAAAUAUUUACUAAGUGGCUACUUUGUGCCUAGCAUUGUGCUGGAUGCUGGGUGAGUCUCAGACUUCAUAGGCCUUAAAGUUUGGAGAAGACAGACAGUAAUCAAAAGAACAUAAAUGUAAAUUUGUCAUUGUGGAAAGCGCCCGGAAGGAGAACACUUGGGAGGGGUCUUCAGUUUUCCUGUAAACCUGAGAUUGAGCCACCCUCUGAAAGCCGAAUAGGCAAUUAAUAGGCUGUUCAUCAGGCAAAGGAGAGCAGGGACACUAUGUGCAAAGGUCCUGAGGCAGGAAGAACUGGGAUAAAUGUAAAACACCAAAAGAAAACUAAUGUGGCUGGAGCACAGAGUGAGGAAGAGGGAGGGAAGUGAGGUUUGAGAUCUUGAUAGCAACCAGAUCAGACAGACCCUAACAGCUAAUUUCAAAGGUUUUUGCUUCACAUUAAGAAUUUAGGGAAGUCAUUUUAAGGCUUUAAGUUGGGGAGGUAGGGUGAGGUGGGAGUGGAAAAGAGAAAGGGGGUGAGGAGUGACAUGAUUUGCAACAGAAUAAUAAAUCAUUAUUCUGGCUAUGAUAAGGGGAAUGAAUGACUUAGAAACAAGAGCUGAUGUCUGAACUCUUGGAGUCCAAGUGGGAAAUUAUAAUUCUUGGACAAGGAUGAUAGAAAUCAGUUCACAGAAGAGAUCUGAGAUUGUACGAGGCAAAAUCCAUAAGAUAUGUUGAUGGAUGUGGAGGAUGAGGGGGAAGAGGUCAAAGAUUUCCUGAGUUUUUAGCCUUCACGACUGGCUGGAUGGUAGUACCAUUCACAAGGAGAGGAAACAGCGUAGGACAACUAGAUCUUUGAGGUUAAGAUCAUUAACUUUGUUUUGGACUUGGGUCUGGGUGACUCUGAGAUAUCUGAGUAGCAAUGUCAAGUGUGCAUUUAGAUGUGCAGAUGUGGAGCUGAAAGGAGAGGUCCAAGUCUGCGGUCCAGAUCUGCACACAAGGGAAUGAGAUCACCUAGAAAAGAGAGCACUAUGGUAAGUGAAGAGAACCUAAAAACGAGCCCUGGGGCCACAAGAUGAAAUGGCUGGGGAGAGGAGACUGAGCCAGGAGGAGAUGGGGAAGGAGCCACACAGAUGUGGGAGGAGACCCAGGAGAAAGUCACGUCACUGGAGCAAAGGGAAGGAGAUGUUGAUUAACAGUAUGUGACCCUGAUGAAGGGUCAAGUAAGGUGAAGACCGAAAAUACCCAUUGGCUUUAGCAACAUGGAAGUCCCCUCUGACCAUAAUAAGGAAGGUAUGAAUGUAGCAAUUGGAGCAGAGGCAGCAACAGAGUAGGGAGGGCGGGAAAUGAAGAAACCACACUGGUAAGAUGAUGUAUCAAGAGAGUCUGGCUUUGAAGGGGAAGAAUGAAGGAGUAGGGAAGUUUUCCUUACUUUUAGGGGAAGAAUUUGAACAUGGAAAGGGUCUAUGUGGGAGAGAGAAAAUCAGAGCUCUACGGAAGAGAAAAGAUGGUGGUCAGGAUAAGGUUUCUGAGAAGCAGGAGGAGAUAGAAUUCCUAGCACAGGCAGAGGGACUGGCCUUGGAAGGAGGAAAAGAGGAGAGGGGGCACAGCGAAGGGGUCUGGAUUUCUGGCUGAGGACUUCCAUUUUCCUUAUUAAAUAACAAAUAUAAGAUAUCUGCUAAGUGUGAAGGGACUGAAGCAGGAGCAGGGAGCUGAGGGAUUUGAAAUUCUGAGGAACACAAAUAUAUUCAUUCACUUCCUGCA